AAGCCAUGACUAACGUGGCUAACAAAAUAUCAGAAUUUCACACCAUAAUGCGUUAAUGGUAAACUAACCUAUCAAGUUUAUAAUUAUCAACCUUUCCCUGUCAAUUCUUUUCAUCAGACAAAGAAACUCAAUUCGGAAAGCAUUUAUAUUAAAUGAAUUCAAAAAUUUCAUUCCAUAAUUUCAUUCACAUUCACCCACCAUUCUCAUUAUAAUGGCAAACCAUAAUCACAGUUUAUAAUUUCAUUCAUGUUGAUGCACAAAACCGGAAGGUCUUAGAACAACGUAAAUCCGACUGUGAAUCAUGCAAACGCCCAAGAACACAAAGAUGUAUCGUGGUUCACCCCAAUGUUUGGGCUACGUCCACACUGAUGUUGAUUAUGUAUGUAUGUAUGGAUUACAAAAUGUUGUUGUGUUUGUGAGGGUAUUGCCCUCUGUUGAGUUCACAGAGGAAGAGAGUUGAGAGAGUUUCUGUGUUUGUAGGAGGGUUGCUCUGAAUAUGAGAGUCUCUGUUUGGAGAUGUGGGGCCUGAGGAUUCUAAGGGUGAGAAGGCUCUUUUAUAGACUAAGGGCUUCUCCCCUUUUACAUAAAUCAUGGGCUCAAUGUCUGGAAGCCCAAGUAACGAGGCCCAAUAUAAUAUGGUACCAACAGUAGUCCCCCAAGUCUUUAGUCAAGAGAGUCUUUUGGCUGGAGACUUCAAAUCCAAUCCAUGUAUGGGCCGAAGUGACUAGAUGUCUUGAACCAGUACUCAACCCAAGGCAAUGCUCAACAUAAAGCAAUACUCGGCCAGAGGUAUCACACGUUCCGAGACUGCUCGGCUGAAGGUGAUGCUAGUUGCGAGGCUGCUCGGCUAGAUGCUAUGCUCGUGGCGAGGCGUUUGCUCGGUUGGAGGCGAUGCUCGUUGCGAGGUGGCUCGACUAGAGGCUGUGCUCGCUGCAAGGCGACUCGACUCGUGGUAUUCCUCAUUGCAAGUAUCUACUUUAUGUCGACAUGCACUCAAUAUGAGUUGAUUCUCGACAUGACUCGGGUCCGCUUGUCAGGUUCGCAUAUUGGGUCUAUAUGUCUGAUCCGCGGAUCGGGUCCUCAAGUUGGGUCUUUGAGUCAAGGCCAUACGUAGGGUCAUCGAGUUAGGGCUAUAUGUAGGGUCAUUGAGUUGGGUCCAGGCACAUAAGUGUCCCAAUAAGCGAAUGUCUUAGCAAAUGGGUGUCUGGUCAGACAAGAGAUCACCAUGAGCACGUGGCUCAUCAGUCUAUAAGUUGGUAGACUUCUUUAAUUAGCAACAAUGUUGAUCAGUAGAUCUAGUUGCUCAAUAAUUUCUGACAAUAAAUGACAGUAUAAGUACGACCGUAUAAUGAAUAAAUCAAAUUGACAAAGUUUAUCAAGGAAAAAUAUUGUACUAUGUACCUUCUAUAAAUAAAUAAUUUAUUCAGUCGUGUGAUAAAUCACAUGUUGUAUAAGUGACAUAGUUUAAAGGCAAUCAUAAUAUUCUAGGCCAUGAAUAAAUAUUGUACAGGUACUUAGGUUAAAUAUAUGUCACUAGGUGACAUGUUAACAAAUAUCAUAAUAUAAUAAUAAUAAAAUAUUAAAUAAAUG
RNAcentral lists this long non-coding RNA (1590 nucleotides) under Malus domestica (apple). RNAcentral's name for it is "long non-coding RNA (MDOM_LNC016155)". Lineage: Eukaryota; Viridiplantae; Streptophyta; Magnoliopsida; Rosales; Rosaceae. The record is from RNAcentral.